RNAcentral lists this long non-coding RNA (485 nucleotides) under Medicago truncatula (barrel medic). RNAcentral's name for it is "lncRNA gene15986". The record is from RNAcentral. Lineage: Eukaryota; Viridiplantae; Streptophyta; Magnoliopsida; Fabales; Fabaceae.
GUUUAUGCGACGUGGUUUAGAAUGGACUUCAAGAUUUGGAAGCUGAAGAAAUAAAUCUUUGAAAACUUUGUUGAACUAUCCAAUUCAUUCCUAGGUAGUUUCCUUUCAGUGUCUAAUUCCCAAAUGAUUGAAAUUGUUCAAGCAUUAAACACCAGUGGAAUUCAACUAUGGAAAUAGCUUUAUCUAGUGUUCCAAUGCUUACAUUCACUUUAUUCUUGGACUAAGUCCGAAUAGUAGAAAAAAAUUGGAUGUGGGGAAAAAUGGGUUGGCGUUAAAAUGGUGAGUUAAAAGUGAGGAAUUGAUCACACAAGAACAAAUACUGGAAAUUUACGGAUCAUGGAAGUGGAUCCUCCUAUAGGAACCUUGAUGUAUUUUAGAAGACAUUUCGUGUGUUCAAUGUGACGUUUUAGAAAUCGAACAUCAAACCAGUGAGACUUUCAACUUAUAGUUGGAUAAAAUUGUGAUCGAACCACUCAAUGACUCAA